This 497-nucleotide ribosomal RNA is filed under the name uncultured bacterium. RNAcentral describes it as "partial 16S ribosomal RNA". It matches the Rfam family "Bacterial small subunit ribosomal RNA", at positions 28 to 507 of the family's 1533-position model. The record is from RNAcentral.
GAUGAACGCUGGCGGCGUGCCUAAUACAUGCAAGUCGAGCGAACGGACGAGAAGCUUGCUUCUCUGAUGUUAGCGGCGGACGGGUGAGUAACACGUGGAUAACCUACCUAUAAGACUGGGAUAACUUCGGGAAACCGUAGCUAAUACCGGAUAAUAUUUUGAACCGCAUGGUUCAAAAGUGAAAGACGGUCUUGCUGUCACUUAUAGAUGGAUCCGCGCUGCAUUAGCUAGUUGGUAAGGUAACGGCUUACCAAGGCAACGAUGCAUAGCCGACCUGAGAGGGUGAUCGGCCACACUGGAACUGAGACACGGUCCAGACUCCUACGGGAGGCAGCAGUAGGGAAUCUUCCGCAAAGGGCGAAAGCCUGACGGAGCAACGCCGCGUGAGUGAUGAAGGUCUUCGGAUCGUAAAACUCUGUUAUUAGGGAAGAACAUAUGUGUAAGUACCUGUGCACAUCUUGACGGUACCUAAUCAGAAAGCCACGGCUAACUACGUG